Molecule: ribosomal RNA, 608 nt
Filed under: uncultured Acidobacteriota bacterium
Lineage: Bacteria; Pseudomonadati; Acidobacteriota
Description: uncultured Acidobacteria bacterium partial 16S ribosomal RNA
Rfam family: Bacterial small subunit ribosomal RNA
Source: RNAcentral
GCCAUGGCGGCCGCGGGAAUUCGAUUAGAGUUUGAUCAUGGCUCAGAAUCAACGCUGGCGGCGUGCCUCAGACAUGCAAGUCGAACGAGAAAGUUCCCUUCGGGGAAUGAGUAAAGUGGCGCACGGGUGAGUAACACGUAGGUAAUCUACCUUCGGGUGGGGAAUAACCCAGGGAAACUUGGGCUAACACCGCAUAAUGCAGCGGCACCACAUGGUGACAGUUGUUAAAGCGGGGGAUUUUCGAACCUCGCGCCUGAAGAGGAGCCUGCGGCAGAUUAGCUAGUUGGUAAGGUAACGGCUUACCAAGGCGACGAUCUGUAACCGGCCUGAGAGGGCGGUCGGUCACACUGACACUGACAUACGGGUCAGACUCCUACGGGAGGCAGCAGUCGGGAAUUUUGGGCAAUGGGCGAAAGCCUGACCCAGCAACGCCGCGUGAAGGAUGAAAUCCCUCGGGAUGUAAACUUCGCAAGAACGGGAAGAAUAAGCGAAGGCUAAUACCAUUCGUGAUGACGGUACCGUUUGUAAGCUCCGGCUAACUCCGUGCCAGCAGCCGCGGUAAUACGAAUCACUAGUGAAUUCGCGGCCGCCUGCAGGUCGACCAUAUG